This 69-nucleotide transfer RNA is filed under the name Pantholops hodgsonii (chiru). RNAcentral's name for it is "tRNA-Phe". It matches the Rfam family "tRNA". Rfam says of the family: Transfer RNA (tRNA) molecules are approximately 80 nucleotides in length. Their secondary structure includes four short double-helical elements and three loops (D, anti-codon, and T loops). Further hydrogen bonds mediate the characteristic L-shaped molecular structure. tRNAs have two regions of fundamental functional importance: the anti-codon, which is responsible for specific mRNA codon recognition, and the 3' end, to which the tRNAs corresponding amino acid is attached (by aminoacyl-tRNA synthetases). tRNAs cope with the degeneracy of the genetic code in two manners: having more than one tRNA (with a specific anti-codon) for a particular amino acid; and 'wobble' base-pairing, i.e. permitting non-standard base-pairing at the 3rd anti-codon position. Lineage: Eukaryota; Metazoa; Chordata; Mammalia; Artiodactyla; Bovidae. The record is from RNAcentral.
GUUAAUGUAGCUUAACCCUUAAAGCAAGGCACUGAAAAUGCCUAGAUGAGUAUGUUUACUCCAUAAACA